GGCGGCAUGGCCAAGCGGUAAGGCAGAGGAUUGCAAAUUCUCCAUCCCCGGUUCGAAUCCGGGUGUCGCCUGAC
RNAcentral lists this transfer RNA (74 nucleotides) under Selaginella sanguinolenta. RNAcentral describes it as "tRNA-Cys". It matches the Rfam family "tRNA". From Rfam's summary of the family: Transfer RNA (tRNA) molecules are approximately 80 nucleotides in length. Their secondary structure includes four short double-helical elements and three loops (D, anti-codon, and T loops). Further hydrogen bonds mediate the characteristic L-shaped molecular structure. tRNAs have two regions of fundamental functional importance: the anti-codon, which is responsible for specific mRNA codon recognition, and the 3' end, to which the tRNAs corresponding amino acid is attached (by aminoacyl-tRNA synthetases). tRNAs cope with the degeneracy of the genetic code in two manners: having more than one tRNA (with a specific anti-codon) for a particular amino acid; and 'wobble' base-pairing, i.e. permitting non-standard base-pairing at the 3rd anti-codon position. The record is from RNAcentral. RNAcentral also lists the same sequence under 2 other names. Lineage: Eukaryota; Viridiplantae; Streptophyta; Lycopodiopsida; Selaginellales; Selaginellaceae.